Molecule: ribosomal RNA, 468 nt
Filed under: uncultured bacterium
Lineage: Bacteria
Description: partial 16S ribosomal RNA
Rfam family: Bacterial small subunit ribosomal RNA
Source: RNAcentral
GACGAACGCUGGCGGCGUGCUUAACACAUGCAAGUCGAACGGAAAGGCCCUGCCUUUGUGGGGUGCUCGAGUGGCGAACGGGUGAGUAACACGUGAGUAACCUGCCCUUGACUUUGGGAUAACUUCAGGAAACUGGGGCUAAUACCGGAUAGGAGCUCCUGCUGCAUGGUGGGGGUUGGAAAGUUUCGGCGGUUGGGGAUGGACUCGCGGCUUAUCAGCUUGUUGGUGGGGUAGUGGCUUACCAAGGCUUUGACGGGUAGCCGGCCUGAGAGGGUGACCGGCCACAUUGGGACUGAGAUACGGCCCAGAUUCCUACGGGAGGCAGCAGUGGGGAAUAUUGCACAAUGGGCGGAAGCCUGAUGCAGCAACGCCGCGUGCGGGAUGACGGCCUUCGGGUUGUAAACCGCUUUCGCCUGUGACGAAGCGUGAGUGACGGUAAUGGGUAAAGAAGCACCGGCUAACUACGUG